GAUGAACGCUGGCGGCGUGCCUAAUACAUGCAAGUCGAGCGAACAGAUGAGGGGCUUUCUCCUCUGACGAUUUCGGCGGACGGGUGAGUAAAACGUGUAAAACCCAUCUAUCAUACACGGGUAACUUUGGGAAACCGGAUAUAAAAUAGCAGAAAAUAGUGAUUCGCACGGGUGAGUAAUUAAAGAGUUGGUUGUUCUCACUUUAUGAGAGAUCUUCGCGGUGCAUUAGCUUGUUGGUGGGGUAAAGGCACACAAAGGCAACGAUGCAUAGCCGACCUGAGAGGGUGAUCGGCCACACUGGAACUGAGACACGGCCCAGACUCCUACGGGAGGCAGCAGUAGGGAAUCUUCCGCAAUGGGCGAAAGCCUGACGGAGCAACGCCGCGUGAGUGAUGAAGGUUUUCGGAUCGUAAAGCUCUGUUAUUAGGGAAGAACGAAUGUGUAAUAACCUAAGCACGUAUUGACGGUACCUAAUCAGAAAGCCACGGCUAACUACGUG
RNAcentral lists this ribosomal RNA (499 nucleotides) under uncultured bacterium. RNAcentral's name for it is "partial 16S ribosomal RNA". It matches the Rfam family "Bacterial small subunit ribosomal RNA", at positions 28 to 507 of the family's 1533-position model. The record is from RNAcentral.